RNAcentral lists this ribosomal RNA (497 nucleotides) under uncultured bacterium. RNAcentral describes it as "partial 16S ribosomal RNA". It matches the Rfam family "Bacterial small subunit ribosomal RNA", at positions 28 to 507 of the family's 1533-position model. The record is from RNAcentral.
GAUGAACGCUGGCGGCGUGCCUAAUACAUGCAAGUCGAGCGAACAGACGAGGAGCUUGCACCUUUGACGUUAGCGGCGGACGGGUGAGUAACACGUGGGUAACCUACCUAUAAGACUGGGAUAACUUCGGGAAACCGGAGCUAAUACCGGAUAAUAUUUCGAACCGCAUGGUUCGAUAGUGAAAGAUGGCUUUGCUAUCACUUAUAGAUGGACCUGCGCCGUAUUAGCUAGUUGGUAAGGUAACGGCUUACCAAGGCAACGAUACGUAGCCGACCUGAGAGGGUGAUCGGCCACACUGGAACUGAGACACGGUCCAGACUCCUACGGGAGGCAGCAGUAGGGAAUCUUCCGCAAUGGGCGAAAGCCUGACGGAGCAACGCCGCGUGAGUGAUGAAGGUCUUCGGAUCGUAAAACUCUGUUAUUAGGGAAGAAUAAACGUGUAAGUAACUGUGCACGUCUUGACGGUACCUAAUCAGAAAGCCACGGCUAACUACGUG